AUGUUGCAUAUCCUUUGCCAAUUUUGUAAAUUGGUAGUGGAUAAGGGGGCAAAUUUGAUUUUUCAAAUUUGUUAGCAGAAUUUGCCUCCUUAUCUUUUGCCGAUUCACAAAGUUGCCACUUAAAAAUGUAAGCGU
Molecule: non-coding RNA, 135 nt
Organism: Arabidopsis thaliana (thale cress)
Lineage: Eukaryota; Viridiplantae; Streptophyta; Magnoliopsida; Brassicales; Brassicaceae
Source: RefSeq